This 207-nucleotide ribosomal RNA is filed under the name uncultured bacterium. RNAcentral describes it as "partial 16S ribosomal RNA". It matches the Rfam family "Bacterial small subunit ribosomal RNA", at positions 568 to 774 of the family's 1533-position model. The record is from RNAcentral.
CUCGUAGGCGGUUUGUCGCGUCGUCUGUGAAAUUCUGCAGCUUAACUGCAGGCGUGCAGGCGAUACGGGCAGACUUGAGUACUACAGGGGAGACUGGAAUUCCUGGUGUAGCGGUGAAAUGCGCAGAUAUCAGGAGGAACACCGGUGGCGAAGGCGGGUCUCUGGGUAGUAACUGACGCUGAGGAGCGAAAGCGCGGGUAGCGAACA